UGAGGAUAGGAAAGCACAAGGUGGU
Molecule: non-coding RNA, 25 nt
Filed under: Mus musculus (house mouse)
Lineage: Eukaryota; Metazoa; Chordata; Mammalia; Rodentia; Muridae
Source: RNAcentral